GGGGUUGUGGCUCAGUGGUAGAGCACUUGCCUAGCAUGUGUGAGGCCCUGGGUUCGAUCCUCAGCACCA
RNAcentral lists this transfer RNA (69 nucleotides) under Marmota marmota marmota (Alpine marmot). It matches the Rfam family "tRNA". Rfam says of the family: Transfer RNA (tRNA) molecules are approximately 80 nucleotides in length. Their secondary structure includes four short double-helical elements and three loops (D, anti-codon, and T loops). RNAcentral also lists the same sequence under 5 other names. Lineage: Eukaryota; Metazoa; Chordata; Mammalia; Rodentia; Sciuridae. The record is from Rfam by way of RNAcentral.